UUCAGAGGGAGCCAACAGCAAAACAAGUCGUCACCCACCGACUGACAAUGAACUGUAGAGGAGCACCAGCGGCCCAGCACACAGCCAUUUUACUGUCCAACGUUACACUGUGGAAACUGACCGCCGAGCAGCUUUUUAAAGGCUGUUUAUCCUACUGGAGGAGAACAGAACCGGCUCCUCGGUUCGUGCUUUUUAAAAGAAGGAGCUGUUUCUUUCUACAGAAGCCGCGGUCGCUCUCUGGCCGCCAUGUUUCUACAGUAGCCUUUUGCAACUAUUUCAAAAAACACCUGAAGCCUCCCGGAAGUGGACCACAAAGUAGCCAAACAGACUUUCCUCCAUAAGGUUCCUUUGUGGAAAAAAGCGGCUGUAAAAUUGAUUUGAAUGUCACAACCCGCACAAACUGACUCUGAUUCACUAUCAGAGGUUUAUCUAUCAGAACUUUUCUUCUGAAUAAAGCUGCUCGCGGCUGUUGGAAACUGGCUGGGCUGAAAUGAAUCUUACAAUAGAUAAGUAAGAACUAAGGGUGAUUUGAUUCAUUGUUCAUACAGUUAAUUGUGGAAAGUUUGCCAUCAUGGUUAGAAGAAACCAAGGUUUACUGUUGGUAGCAGAUGGGACACAAACAUUACAUCUACCCACAACACCUUGGCCCUCUUGGCACCAUACGACCAUCGCUUUACUUGACACAGAACAUCCUUUCUACCAAAUGCUGUUGUUUGUCCCUAAAGGAAAAACAACAGCAGUUGGAUAAAAUAAAGUAUUCUGGAGGGAAGAUGAACUCCGAUCCAUCACACGAGAGGUGUCCCUUUUUAAUUUGCGCCAGACAGUGUGACUGGUAUUGAAAACAGGCUUCAUGUAGCUUCAUAAGAUAACUUUAUUGUCUGUCACAAAGUAACAGAAAUUUUCAUUUGACACUCAAAAGACGCGCACACACACACACACACACACACACACACACACACACACACACACACACACACACACA
Molecule: long non-coding RNA, 982 nt
Organism: Dicentrarchus labrax (European seabass)
Lineage: Eukaryota; Metazoa; Chordata; Actinopteri; Moronidae
Exons: 2
Source: RefSeq, a predicted model, not a curated record